AAAAAGACAAACCCUGAGUUUUCGUGUCAAACUUUGAAUGUCCGUCUUAUAUGAAAUUUUUUUAUAAUUCGUAUUUUCAUUGUUGUUAGAUGAUAAAACAUGAUUAAUAUUUUAUGCGUGACUUGUCUUUUUAAUUUUUUUUAUAAUUUUUUCAAAUAAGACAGACGGUCAAACGUUGGACACGAAAACCAGAGUUUGUCUUUUUU
Non-coding RNA from Oryza glumipatula, 206 nucleotides. Lineage: Eukaryota; Viridiplantae; Streptophyta; Magnoliopsida; Poales; Poaceae. The record is from Rfam.